Molecule: small nuclear RNA, 83 nt
Filed under: Ciona intestinalis (vase tunicate)
Lineage: Eukaryota; Metazoa; Chordata; Ascidiacea; Phlebobranchia; Cionidae
Description: U4 spliceosomal RNA (ENSCING00000021000.1)
Rfam family: U4 spliceosomal RNA
About the family: U4 small nuclear RNA (U4 snRNA) is a component of the major U2-dependent spliceosome.
Source: RNAcentral
AUCUUUGCGUGGUGGCGGUAUCGUAGCUAAUUCGGUUUAUCCGAGGCGCGAUUAUUGCUAGUUAAUAAAUAUUUUUAAAAAAG